CAGUCGCCACGGUAAAACGUAGGUGGCAAGCGUUGUCCGGAAUUAUUGGGCGUAAAGGGCUCGCAGGCGGUUUCUUAAGUCUGAUGUGAAAGCCCCCGGCUCAACCGGGGAGGGUCAUUGGAAACUGGGAAACUUGAGUGCAGAAGAGGAGAGUGGAAUUCCACGUGUAGCGGUGAAAUGCGUAGAGAUGUGGAGGAACACCAGUGGCGAAGGCGACUCUCUGGUCUGUAACUGACGCUGAGGAGCGAAAGCGUUGGGAGCGAACAGGAUUAGAUACCCCCGUAGUCCCUGUCUCUUAUAC
Molecule: ribosomal RNA, 301 nt
Filed under: uncultured bacterium
Lineage: Bacteria
Description: partial 16S ribosomal RNA
Rfam family: Bacterial small subunit ribosomal RNA
Source: RNAcentral